AAGGAAUAUUGGGCAAUGGAGGCAACUCUGACCCAGCCAUGCCGCGUGCAGGAAGACGGCCCUACGGGUUGUAAACUGCUUUUAAUAGGGAGUAAUGUUAGUUACGAGUAACUAAUUGCAAGUACCUAUAGAAUAAGGAUCGGCUAACUCCGUGCCAGCAGCCGCGGUAAUACGGAGGAUCCAAGCGUUAUCCGGAUUUAUUGGGUUUAAAGGGUGCGCAGGCGGACUAAUAAGUCAGUGGUGAAAUCUACAUGCUUAACAUGUAAUGUGCCAUUGAUACUGUUAGACUAGUAUGCAAAUGACGUAGCUGGAAUGUGUUAUGUAGCGGUGAAAUGCUUAGAUAUAACACAGAACACCGAUCGUGAAGACAGGUUACGAAUUUGUUAUAGACGCUCAUGCACGAAAGCGUGGGGAUCAAAC
RNAcentral lists this ribosomal RNA (420 nucleotides) under uncultured bacterium. RNAcentral describes it as "bacterial SSU rRNA". It matches the Rfam family "Bacterial small subunit ribosomal RNA", at positions 356 to 773 of the family's 1533-position model. The record is from RNAcentral.